Molecule: long non-coding RNA, 318 nt
Filed under: Ananas comosus (pineapple)
Lineage: Eukaryota; Viridiplantae; Streptophyta; Magnoliopsida; Poales; Bromeliaceae
Description: long non-coding RNA (ACOM_LNC032182)
Source: RNAcentral
AAAAUAUUCGGCGGAAAAAAAAAAUUCACAUUUUCUACAUAAUGUUUGAGUUGUAAGGAAAAAAAUAUUUUUCAUCAACAUUUAUCAGGUUGAAAUUAAGGAAAAAAAUAUUCAUUCAUAUUUAUCUGGUCGAGUGAAAAAAUUUUACGAAGAUUGAGUUUUCAUUUUUCGUCGAAAAACAACAAAGAAAACAAAAACUUCAUUUUAUUUUUUUUCAGAUUCAUAAAAAUACUUUUAAAAGAUAGAUAUUUUACAUCAAACCAAAUAAGUAAAAAAAUAUUUUUUAUAUCAAAAAUAAUUUUUCGAUUUGUUCUAUGC